This 27-nucleotide non-coding RNA is filed under the name Mus musculus (house mouse). Lineage: Eukaryota; Metazoa; Chordata; Mammalia; Rodentia; Muridae. The record is from RNAcentral.
UGAAUUCCUCUUAAAGAGAUAGCCCCU